RNAcentral lists this ribosomal RNA (231 nucleotides) under uncultured Bacillota bacterium. Its description in RNAcentral is "uncultured Firmicutes bacterium partial 16S ribosomal RNA". It matches the Rfam family "Bacterial small subunit ribosomal RNA", at positions 103 to 334 of the family's 1533-position model. Lineage: Bacteria; Bacillati; Bacillota. The record is from RNAcentral.
CGGGUGAGUAACGCGUGGAUAACCUGCCGUAUACAGGGGGAUAACACUUAGAAAUAGGUGCUAAUACCGCAUAAGCGCACGGUUCCGCAUGGAACAGUGUGAAAAACUCCGGUGGUAUACGAUGGAUCCGCGUCUGAUUAGCUGGUUGGCGGGGCAACGGCCCACCAAGGCGACGAUCAGUAGCCGGCCUGAGAGGGUGGGCGGCCACAUUGGGACUGAGACACGGCCCAG